CACACCUGGACACAGUAUUCCAGAUGGGGAUCUUGCUGUAAAUCACAUCCAUUGAUGAAUACAAUUUAUGGAACUCGCAACACAGAGAUCAGGGUAAGUUAUAGCUCAUUAACUCUUGUUCUUGUGUGCAGUAUCCUCUCACAUUUGUGGACAACAUCCAGCCCAAAGCCCCAGCACUGCAUGAUGUGCAGGCUCUGUCUCCAGGCUGAGGGAUCCUGCAAGAGUCUGAUGGAAGCUGGGGCACCAGUGAUUAUGCAGAACAUUUGAUAUAUAUCUCCUGGGUUUGCUGGAAGACCGGUGCCGUUCACCACUGAAGAGAAGCUGUUGCAUUUUUGGGUCUUUCUGACAGAAUCUUUGAUGUUCACUGGCAGAUCUUUGCCAUUCCUGAAAGUGGCAUGAGGGAGCAGUUCAAUCAAUCAUGUAUUGUGUUAGAAGAUCCAGGAAGAAUCACAAAACAUUUGCCAAGUUCUACAUCAACUGCGAGCUGUAGGUAUCAAGUACACCAGCUAUGGUUGCUCUGUAGUCAUUACAUUGCCAUUAUCUGUUUAACACAUUAUUUAUAUUCUUCCAUGGGCAUGAGAAAACAUGGCUCCUGCCUGUAUGGCCAAACUCUUCCCUUCUCCAGUCCCGCAACCACAGCGGCUGUGCCCAUGUUCCUCACCAGAAGUCUGCUCGGUGCUGUUGCUGGGCAGGGACUGGAUCUGUUCUGGUGGUUAAACACUGCGGGUCAGUGCUUGGAACUGUUCAACUCUCUAUGUACAUAGAAGUGCACAGCCCGUAUGGCACUGCCUCUGCAUCAAGCCAGUGAUGAGAAUGGAUUCCUGCAGAACAACCUGGGUUUAAUCAUGACCUGAUGGACUGGGCUUGAAAUGUCUUGUAUGCGUUUUUGAACCUAAGUCAUACUGGAAAUCAGAGCAGAUGGUCAGCAUCUGGUUUAGAAAUGCAUCAGUCCAUGAUCAAGAACCUCCAUAAACAGAAAUGUCUCAUGAUGAGGAUGAUUUCAAGGCUGACUCAGCUUAACUUUCAGUGACCCUGAUGGGUUCCCCCAGGUCUUAGUGGGGCAUGAGUGUAGUCAGGGCAUUGUACAUGGAGGAAUUCACUUUCAGCUUUGUGUGUCUCCUGGCUUUGCUUGAAAGGAGCUGGGUUUGACCCCUCUGCUAUGCACAGCAAACAAUGUUCUUUAAGAAGAAAGAAAUUAAAAAAAAAAAAAGGCCCAAAUCUCUUCUUACAGUACAGCUCUACCCUGGGUCAUUCAAGGCAAUGUCUUUUUCCCCAGUUUCCUGCUGCAUAUCUCAACUCAUUAGGUCUGUCACAUCAGCCUCAUUUGGUCUGUUAGAUGUGCUGCAUGGCAAAGACUUGUCUCUGCACAGAGAAAGUGCUCAGGGAACUUAUUUUGGAUUGCAUAGACUUCCACACCAGGAAUCUACUAUCUGUCUGAUCCUUUCAACUGUUUAUCAUGGUGGGGUGUCAGCUCUUCCUGAGCUUCAUGAUUCCCUUACCUUUUAGCCCAAUGACUUCGGCAGCUCCUGUGUUUGCUACUUGGGGCUGGAGCUCAGAGGAGAACUGGCAAUUCCCUUUGCUUGUGACACGUUACCUGCCACUAUUCUGAGCUAUCAAUCACUUCUAUCUAGAGGAAAAAACUCCAAAUUGUUAUAUUCUUUCGGAAAGUGAGGAUAUUGCUGUGCUGUAGAGGGAGAAAAAAUGUAUCGAAUACUUGGCUAUCAAACCUCUGCACCUCUGUCUACAGCACUGUAAGCUGUAAGAUAUUGUGGGAUACCAGAAGAGCUUUAUUUUAUUCCAUGCAGAGCUUUCAUUUCAUCAUCAUAAUCAAAUCCAAGGAUUUUUAUUGUAUGCAUUACUGAACUAGAUAGUAUGUAAUUUUACAAGACUAUAACGCUGCACCUCAUACAUUUUUGAAAUCUAAGAUGGUUGUUAUUAUGAUAUUGAUGGACAUUCUUUCCUCUGAAACAUCGCUUUUCUAAAUAAUUUUCUAUAUCUGCAUCUCUUUUCCUUCCCAGUUCCAUUUCCUCUUCCUGGUGCAGCUAUAUGAGAAGACAGCAAGGUCAGGUGCAGUGAUUCUGGUGUUUUGAUAUUUGCAGAAGUACAUUUGCUUCAGAAAGCUGAAAAGGGUCUCAGCGUCAUUCCCCGCUGACUGCAGGGUUUGAGGGGAUGCAGUGGGGACAGGUGUGGAGGGCAUUAUGGGCUGCACAGUGCCAUGGAUUCCUCUCCAGCUUUUGACUCAGAGUACAUGAGGAGAGGACAGUCAACAGGACUCCAUCCAAAAGCGGUUACAACAGAACAGCUACAGUGCAGCAGGGCGGACUUUCCCCUAAUGACUUUCUGGGAACUCACUGGCACAGGGCUGCCAGAGAUGUGGCGGAGUCACCGUCCCUGGAGGAGUUCAAGAAA
Molecule: long non-coding RNA, 2409 nt
Organism: Lagopus leucura (white-tailed ptarmigan)
Lineage: Eukaryota; Metazoa; Chordata; Aves; Galliformes; Phasianidae
Exons: 3
Source: RefSeq, a predicted model, not a curated record